Molecule: ribosomal RNA, 460 nt
Filed under: uncultured bacterium
Lineage: Bacteria
Description: partial 16S ribosomal RNA
Rfam family: Bacterial small subunit ribosomal RNA
Source: RNAcentral
CCUACGGGGGGCUGCAGUGAGGAAUAUUGGUCAAUGGACGAGAGUCUGAACCAGCCAAGUAGCGUGAAGGAUGACUGCCCUAUGGGUUGUAAACUUCUUUUAUAUGGGAAUAAAAUGUUCCACGUGUGGGAUUUUGUAUGUACCAUAUGAAUAAGGAUCGGCUAACUCCGUGCCAGCAGCCGCGGUAAUACGGAGGAUCCGAGCGUUAUCCGGAUUUAUUGGGUUUAAAGGGGGCGUAGGUGGAUUGUUAAGUCAGUUGUGAAAGUUUGCGGCUCAACCGUAAAAUUGCAGUUGAAACUGGCAGUCUUGAGUACAGUAGAGGUGGGCGGAAUUCGUGGUGUAGCGGUGAAAUGCUUAGAUAUCACGAAGAACUCCGAUUGCGAAGGCAGUUCACUGGACUGCAACUGACACUGAGGCACGAAAGUGUGGGUAUCAAACAGGAUUAGAUACCCUAGUAGUC